Molecule: long non-coding RNA, 2083 nt
Filed under: Homo sapiens (human)
Lineage: Eukaryota; Metazoa; Chordata; Mammalia; Primates; Hominidae
Description: HSALNT0321699
Source: RNAcentral
CUGUAAUGUGGUGGUAACAGAAUCCAAAUAGAAGGGAUUUAAGAUAAGAAUGAGUGGAUGGGAAGUGCAUGCGGCAAAUGGCAACUAUGUAUUUGAAAGGACUGGCUGUGAACUGAGGAGAGAGAGAGAGUUCAAUUUCUAGAAGGGAAAGCAAGUUCUACAAGCAUAUAAAAUUUACGAAGAAGCCAUGAAUCUCUGGAAACAUUCUGGAAACCUAGGAUUGAAGUAUAAAAUCUAAUCAUGUUGUGAAGGUCAAGAACCGUGAAGAUGCUGAAAUUUUUACCCUACUUACGAAACCAACAUGUUAGUUCCGUGGAUGGAGUUCCACGAUGCUGGAAGAAGACAUGAACUCCUGGGUCAGAGAUAAAGGACUUUACUUAAGGAAGAGCAAGCAGCGUGAGUUUUGUAUUAGCAUCAGUUCUUGUCUCUUAAGUCCCAUGGGGGUGAUGCAGAUGGGCUCAGAUGGAUGCCUGCAUAUACACUGUAAUGGGUUGCAUUAUAGGAGAACCCUGAACUUGGGGAAACUGAAUUGUUUAUAUUGGGCAGUAAGUAAACCUGCCUUUUCCUCUGAAAGAGACACUACCUUCUUUAUAUUAGACAAUAAAUUAAACUGCUCUUUGCUGCAGAGGAGGAUACCAUAUUGUCUAAGGCUGUUCACUAUACAGACAUCCCUGAUAAGACAGUCCAGAACAAAGGGCAAUCAGUGUCUCUCUUAUCUUUUAAUUUUUAAAGCAUUCACUUAUUAAUUUAAAAAUCUCUGUUAUACCUGCAGUACUCCCACUUCUCAUUCCUAGUAGCUUAUUUUUACUUCAUCACUUUUUCCCUUAUUCAAUCUUACCAGAGGUUUGUUCAGUUUGUCAAUGUUUCCAAAUACCAACACUUCAUUUUAUUGCUUCUGUACUUGACUUUUUUUUUUUAUUUCAUAGCUUUCUGUUCUUUUUGAUAUUAUUUUCCUUUUCCAACUUUCAUCGGGUUCAUUUAUUAUUUAGUUAUGGUAGUUAAAAUUUUUUAUGAUACCUUUCUCUUUAACUCCUGAAUCACCAGAAUUGUGUUUAAAAAUUUGCAAACAGAAAUAAUUAUUUUUAGCUAUUAUUUUAAUUUAUGUGUUUUCAUGAUAAGCUCUCAGCUGUAAAAAAAAAAAAAAACAAAUUUGAGAGGGCUGAACACAAUACAAGUUUAUUUCUUAUUCAUUCGAAGUCCAACAUAAAUGUUUCUAUAUAUGACACAGAAAGCAAGUUCCUUCCCUUUGAGAUUGCCAACAUUCUCAACAAGUAUCCCUGUGUGCUUUUGAUGAAGAGGAAGGAACAGUAUGGAAGAUUUCACAGGAUAUUCUGUGGUCAGGCCUGCAAGUACAUGCGUCACUUCUGCCCACAUUCAUAAGGACAGAGCUAAGUCUCAUAAAUACAAGGAAGGUGAAAAUGUGAUUUAACUGUAUGCCUAGCACAGAAAGGAGAAUCAGAAUCCCUGCCACAUUUUCUAAUGUAACUACAUUAUGGUCAUAACAUGUGUUCUGUAUGAUAUCAGUUCUUUGAAAAAUUUAAGACACAGCCCAUUUUUGCAAGUGUUUUUUUGUGUGUGUUGGAAAAUAAUGUAUAUUUUCCAAUUACUAAAUGCAAGUGUCUGUAUAUGUAUAUCAACUAAAUCAAAGUUGUUGAUUUUAUUGUUCAAAUUAUUUGCAUCCUAUUGGUUUUCCUUACCUACUUUAUGCAUUAAUAGCUAAGAGAUAUGUAUUAAAAAUUUCCCACAGUGUUGGUGGAUUUGUCAAUUUCUCCAUAGGUUUUAAAAUUUAUAUGCAAUUUAUUUUGAGGCUAUGAUAUUAAACAAUGUAAAUUUGCAAAUGUGAUCUCUUUUUAUUAUAUUCUUUAUUUUUAUAGAGUUCUCUUAUUAGUAUUUUUUUCCUUUAAAGAAUAUUUUGACUGAUAUUAAUUAUGGUCAUAUUACUUUUUUUUUUUGGUUAAAUUUGCCGGGUUCUCCUUCUGAAACUUUGAUUAGAUAUUUUGGACUUUCUCACUCUAUUCUUCUUGUGUCUUCAACUCUUUUAAAAUAUUUUGCAUCUUUUUAUCUCUAUUGCUUUAUUCUUUUU